This is a transfer RNA of 94 nucleotides. It matches the Rfam family "tRNA". Rfam says of the family: Transfer RNA (tRNA) molecules are approximately 80 nucleotides in length. The record is from Rfam.
UCCUUGUUAGCUCAGUUGGUAGAGCGUUCGGCUUUUAAGAAAUUUCUUAAGCAAGGAUACCGAAAUGUCAGGGGUUCGAGCCCCCUAUGAGGAG